GACGAACGCUGGCGGCGUGCUUAACACAUGCAAGUCGAACGGAAAGGCCUGCUUUCCCUUGUGGUCUGCGGGUAAACGAGUGGCGAACGGGUGGGUAAUCUGUGCUUCACUUGCCGCUAACCUGGGUAAACGGCGGGGAAACCGGGUCAAAUUCCAGAUAGGAUUGGAGGGUGGUGCAUGUGGUGGAAUAUGAGUUUAUCGCGGUGGGGGUUGGGCUUGCGGUCUAUUAGUUUGUUGGCGGGGUGGUGACCUGGAACGGCGGCGACGGGUAGCCGGCCCGGGAGGGUGGACGGACACAGUGGAACUGAGAAUCGGGCCAGAGUCCUACCGGAGGCAGCAGUGGGGGGUAGUGCACGAGGGGCGGAAGCCUGAUGCAGCGACGCCGUGUGGGGGAUGACGGCGUUCGGGUUGUGAACUCCUGUCGAACGCGAGUAACCCACCGGGUUAGGAGUGUUGUGACGGUAGUUAUAGAAGAAGCACCGGCUAACUACGUG
Molecule: ribosomal RNA, 494 nt
Filed under: uncultured bacterium
Lineage: Bacteria
Description: partial 16S ribosomal RNA
Rfam family: Bacterial small subunit ribosomal RNA
Source: RNAcentral